This is a non-coding RNA of Paramuricea clavata, 407 nucleotides long. The record is from the annotation of a GenBank genome assembly. Lineage: Eukaryota; Metazoa; Cnidaria; Anthozoa; Malacalcyonacea; Plexauridae.
GGGGGAGGACAGGGUAACGUUUAUGUAUGAAUGUACGAUCUGCGACUAUACUUUAAAAGCUGCCUGUAAUAGUUUUCUUUCUAUAGAUAUUACAAUGCUGAUCGACUGAAUAAUUAAUGGUAAUUAUUCUAUGAUUGUAGGCCUUCUGACUGGGACCCAGGCGAUUUGGGGGCGAAGGAAGGGCGAAAGCUAAUUCAUGACUAUUACUGUUUAUUACUAUUAAUUAAAACGAAACAUGUGAAGGAAGCAUAACAGAACUUUACACAUUGACUCGUUCUUUAAAAACAUCAUGUAUGACUAUUAAUUAAAACGGAGUAUUUGAGGGUAAAGCAUGAUAUGCGAUACACAUACUAAUCGUCAAAUUCCCCACUCAUGAAACUUAUUUAUACUUGUCAAAUCUUGCCCUU